Molecule: long non-coding RNA, 1595 nt
Organism: Rosa rugosa (rugosa rose)
Lineage: Eukaryota; Viridiplantae; Streptophyta; Magnoliopsida; Rosales; Rosaceae
Exons: 3
Source: RefSeq, a predicted model, not a curated record
CCGACCUCUCGCCCCCUCUUUCUUCUUCUUCCCUCUGCAAGCGCCAGAAGCCACUAUCUCCGGCCACCACCUUGCAAAAUCGCCACCACCCAUCAAUGCAGCACGAAGAUGCGACCCAAACCCAAGAGAAAUUGAAGCCAUGCAUCGACCCCAACCUCUCUCUUUCGUUCUCCUUCUCUCUGACACCGCCGGAGACUCCAGCUCCGGCCACCAUCUCACCACACCGUCACCACUAAUCGAACCAGCACCAAAAUCUGACCAAAGCCCAACUGAGAUCACCACUAAGCGUCGUCGUUAAUCUCCACAGACGACCACCACAGUCCCGCCGGGUUGGCCGGCCAGAGCUUCCAUCUCCGACCAUCAUUUCAACACACCGCCGACACCAACGUGCCCAGACCAAACCGAGCAUUGAAACCCCAAAGUUUCGCUGACGAUCGACGCCGGAAGACUACCGCACGCACCGUCACCGGAGUAUUACCUCUGCAUGUCUUCGUUUUCCGGUCUCCAGUUCAAACCGAGUGAAACCACCAUCAAGAAUCGAAUCAGCGCCUUGUCAAACACCAAAACCCUAGGGCCCCGACCUCCGACUCCGACCAGAGCCGCCGCACGCGCUUCACGCGCCGUCGCUGGCGUAUGAGCCACGGUAGCUCCGUCGCCGGAAAUCGUCAGGACUUCUCGAUUAGGUAUUUUUCCGUGAUUUCUCUUUAGCUGGAGCUUCUGGUGUGAAUAGAGUAAACCCUAAUUUUGUGUUGUUUGAUUUGGAAUAUGGGAGGUUUUGUGGAGUCUGCAAAUUUGGGAUUUCUGGAGAGAAGAAGCUCCUGGGUCAGUUCCUAUUGAAAGGGGAAAUAGGUGCGAUACAGGGUGAAGAGUGUGGCCUCGGCAGAACUGAAAAUGGAUGGAGACCUGAGGUUUGGAUGUAGGGCAGUGAAUCGAAAACCACCGCUGCACCAAGUCAAGGAAUUCUUUUAAGGAACAUGGACUCGAGCGUGUGCACAUGAAAUUGGGAGAAGUAUCGAAAAUCUGAAACGAAGCUAAGUUUGGGCGAGCACUCCAUAUCCAGGUAGGGUGAGCUGUCCCUUCCUUGUUAGAGACUUUUCAGUAUAUGUGGAAUGCUAUACUAUGAUAGUAUGUUGCCUGCAAGAACGUUUUUGGUUGUUCAUUAGUCGAUGCCUCGUGAUACAUGUGUUUUCAGAACUGAUAAUUGCAAAUUGUGAAAACCGAGGCUAGACUUGCAUGUUGAGAUACUGUACCCUUGUAUGUGUGUACUUGUGACCUGAAAGUGAAUGGGACCUAGACGCGUAGAUUCCUAGGGAUCCCACGGUGUCGAUAACCGUGAACCUCCGGAGGGGGCCGUGCUCCUAUGUUUGUCGAGAAAAAGUGAGUAUAGACAGUGAACCAGUCAUAGGAGACUCAGGGCCAGGAAAUGGACACUUUCGCUACUUGUAGUCGGAAGUACUACAGAGUAGUUGGCCGGUUCUCGUACUCAGGACGAACCAGGUCGGUCACUGAUUUAUCUUAUUUUAGCCGGCAGGUAAGUAUCUCGGAGCUCCAAGUGUGUGAAGCAUACUGCACAUGUUUUAUGAAAGAAAACAAAU